RNAcentral lists this transfer RNA (73 nucleotides) under Candidatus Aciduliprofundum boonei. Its description in RNAcentral is "tRNA-Pro". It matches the Rfam family "tRNA". Rfam says of the family: Transfer RNA (tRNA) molecules are approximately 80 nucleotides in length. Their secondary structure includes four short double-helical elements and three loops (D, anti-codon, and T loops). Lineage: Archaea; Methanobacteriati; Thermoplasmatota. The record is from RNAcentral. RNAcentral also lists the same sequence under 4 other names.
GGGGCCGUAGGGUAGCUUGGCAUCCUACCACCCUGGGGCGGUGGCGACCCGAGUUCAAAUCUCGGCGGCCCCA